AUUGAACGCUGGCGGCAUGCCUUACACAUGCAAGUCGAGCGCGAAAGGGGGCAACCCCGAGUAGAGCGGCGGACGGGUGAGUAACGCAUCGGAACGUGCCCAGUAGUGGGGGACAACCUCGAGAAAUCGAGGCUAAUACCGCAUACGACCCACGGGUGAAAGCGGGGACCGCAAGGCCUCGCGCUAUUGGAGCGGCCGAUGUCCGAUUAGCUAGUUGGCGGGGUAAGAGCCCACCAAGGCGACGAUCGGUAGCUGGUCUGAGAGGACGACCAGCCACACUGGGACUGAGACACGGCCCAGACUCCUACGGGAGGCAGCAGUGGGGAAUUUUGGACAAUGGGGGCAACCCUGAUCCAGCCAUGCCGCGUGCGGGAAGAA
RNAcentral lists this ribosomal RNA (378 nucleotides) under uncultured bacterium. Its description in RNAcentral is "bacterial SSU rRNA". It matches the Rfam family "Bacterial small subunit ribosomal RNA", at positions 29 to 412 of the family's 1533-position model. The record is from RNAcentral.